CUUCGACUUCGGAAAUUCUCGAUUUGGCAUCCCCUAAAAUUCGCAGGGUAUAAAUACCUCACGAAUCCCAACCAUCGACUCAGUCCGGGAUCAGCAGCUGAAUCAAGAUGAAGCUUCACUUUCUUCUCGGUAUUCUAUUGUCGACGGUAAUCAUGUUGGCGGAAGCGAAAAAUGGGCUGACCAAUCGGAGAGGCAGUAAAGAACACAUGGAC
This 212-nucleotide long non-coding RNA is filed under the name Penaeus monodon (black tiger shrimp). RNAcentral's name for it is "uncharacterized LOC119588021, transcript variant X3". The record is from RNAcentral. Lineage: Eukaryota; Metazoa; Arthropoda; Malacostraca; Decapoda; Penaeidae.